GCCGAUCUCGUGCAAUGCGCGUGCGAAGAAGAGGUGGACGAGAGAAGUAGAAAGCGCAGCAAUGGAAGAGCAGUGUAGAGGGAGAUUAGGAGAGAAUUUACAAUAGCCAAAAACACAGUAUCUAGGGGUUCUUCCUUCUUCUUCUCUCUCCUCGCGCAGAGGGAGAGAAGAAGAGGUGGCAGAUUGACGAAGCUAAAAUUGGCAAGCUGUUUUCUACUGGGUUGGGUUUUGGCCGCU
Molecule: unclassified non-coding RNA, 237 nt
Filed under: Hevea brasiliensis (rubber tree)
Lineage: Eukaryota; Viridiplantae; Streptophyta; Magnoliopsida; Malpighiales; Euphorbiaceae
Source: RNAcentral